UUUUUUUUUUUUUUGAGACAGGGUCUCAGUCUGUUGCCCAGGCCAGAGUGCCAUGGCAUAAUCGUAGCUCAUUGCAGCCUUAUCCUCCUGGGCUCAAGCUAUCCUCCUGCCUCAGUCUCCCAAAGUGAUGGGAUUACAGGAGUGAGCCACUGUACCUGCUCAAUUUUUUUCUUUUGCAUUUCUUUUGCCAUAGGAGAAAAGCAAACCAUUAUCUGAGUAUGUGUGGCUUGGGGGCACAAGCAGAUGUAGGGUGUAUCGCUCUGUCCUCAGAGAAACUAUCAGCAUGCUGUUGCUUUUGGUGUUGGCUGGCACUACUCAGGAUGAUCCAGCCUGCCUGCUUGGAUGGAUGAUUCAGUUAAUCCGAAAUCCUCCUCUCCGCCCAACCAAACCUCCUACUCAUUCACUGAGUCAUCACCCUUAUGAAAACCGCUUAGAUUACACUAUGUUAGAAGGAUCUCUCCCUCACCCGAGUUUCUCUUGUCCUCCAGGCUAGUACUGUGCAUCUGACACGUUGUUUCUUAGAAGCUAGCCUUGCUUUCACAGCUCAGCUAGAAUGGUCUCUGUGGCAGGAAUGAGAGCUCGUACAUUUCCCCCAUAAAGCCGAGCGCAAUGCUGGGCAAAGUAUUCGGUGAAUACUUGGAGUGAUUGAAAACUUGCCAUUAAAAGUAUAUACUGUGUAGGUGCUUACAUGAGGUGCUUAGAGUAGUCACAUUUACAGAAAUAGAAAGCAGAAUGGUAGCUGCCAGAGGCUGGGGGGUGGAGGAGACAUGGGGAGUCAUGGUUUAAGGGGUACAGACUUUCUUCUUGUGAAGAUGAAAAUGUUCUGGAGAUGCAUGGUGGUGAUGGUUGCACAACAAUAUGAACAUACUUAAUGCCACCAAAUUGUGCACCUAAAAAGGUAAAUUUUAUUUUAUGUAUAUUUUGCCACAAUAAGGUUGAAUUUUUAAAGAAACCUAUACUGUAGAAAUUUGAGGCUCUCCCCUAAGUCCACCCUCAGCUGCCCUCCCUGGUGCCCAUGUGCAGAAUCCAUAUCAUGUGUGAGUGCAAUGUCCAGUUGGAUUGCCAUGCUGGCCAGGCCCCAGCUACUGGACUCAGCUUCCCACUUGGCAGCUCCAUUUUUGUUUUGAAAAUGGGGUCAUUUGCACCAGGCUUUUAGUUUAGAUUUGUUUUUGUAGUUCUUGUCUACACAAGGAUGGUGAGGAAAGAGUCCAGAUCUAGAGCAAGCAAGGUUAUAGUUUCCCUGUGGUAAUGGAGAAAAGCUUAGUGAUGGUGAGAUUUCUUGACAUCUCACAGCCUCCAAUUUAGUUUGGUUUUGUUUUUCAUCUGUAAAAUGAAGAUUUCAAUAGUCCCUACCUCCUCAGGUUGUUGUGGGGAUUAAAUGAAGUGAGUUGUAUCAAAUACCUUCCACAGUGCCUGAGGCAGGGCAGGAGCUAGGAAGCGUUGUUCAUUAUUUAACGACAGCUGAGAAUUCUUGGAUUCUGUGACUCCAGCUUGGGUUCCAGAAGGACAGAAGCAGCCCACAGGGCUCCUGACACAGUGCCUUGUCUAUGAUGUGUGAUCCUAUACAUAACAAAACCCUUGGGAGGCACCAAGUUGGUGGCUGAGGAAACAAUCUGGUCCGGAGCGUCAGGGAUUUUUCGGUACGACUUUCCCCACUCAGUCAGAAACCCAGCUGCCUGCCAU
Molecule: long non-coding RNA, 1683 nt
Organism: Macaca fascicularis (crab-eating macaque)
Lineage: Eukaryota; Metazoa; Chordata; Mammalia; Primates; Cercopithecidae
Source: Ensembl